AGAUUGAACGCUGGCGGCAUGCCUUACACAUGCAAGUCGAACGGCAGCAUGACGUGUAGCAAUACACGUUGAUGGCGAGUGGCGAACGGGUGAGUAAUAUAUCGGAACGUGUCCUGUAGCGGGGGAUAACCUAUCGAAAGAUGGACUAAUACCGCAUACGCUCUACGGAGGAAAGCGGGGGUCGCAAGACCUCGCACUAUAGGAGCGGCCGAUAUCGGAUUAGCUAGUUGGCGGGGUAAAAGCCCACCAAGGCGACGAUCCGUAGCUGGUCUGAGAGGAUGAUCAGCCACACUGGAACUGAGACACGGUCCAGACUCCGUACGGGAGCGAGCAGUGGGGAAUUUGGACAAGUGGCGCAAGCCUGAUCCAGCCAUGCCGCGUGACGUGAAGAAGGUCCGUUACGGUUGUAACGCUUCGUUUCGGCGAGGAACCGAAAUGGUUACGUAGUUAA
Molecule: ribosomal RNA, 451 nt
Filed under: uncultured soil bacterium
Lineage: Bacteria
Description: bacterial SSU rRNA
Rfam family: Bacterial small subunit ribosomal RNA
Source: RNAcentral